Molecule: long non-coding RNA, 3967 nt
Organism: Cyprinus carpio (common carp)
Lineage: Eukaryota; Metazoa; Chordata; Actinopteri; Cypriniformes; Cyprinidae
Source: Ensembl
CCUGACCAACGCUAUGAUUGAAUGGAGAUCUGUUAAACUGUAUCUGUCCCUUUAAGAGGUCAGUCAGUGCUCAGCAGCAGCGAAACCUCCGGCAUAACAAACACAACCAUCAGCAGCGCAACACUUUCUCAAGCGCAUCUCACAUUACUGGAGUUUACAACGCCCCGCAUAAUACGGCAAUGUGUAACGCGAAUCAAUUACGAUGAAGGACUGGUGUCGUCUUCUGCUCUUGGCUGGAAUUGCUGCUGUUUUGCAUCCAGACGAAUGAGCACCCAUGCACACCAUGGCAACAGCAAUCGGUCCAUGCUCUGAUGCAGAGGACCUGUUGGCUUCCAUCCACCUCGAGAGGUAUCUGGACCACUUCCGUCAGGCAGGCUUUCUCCUCGCCCGAGACUUCUGUCAUGUGGACAGUGUGGCUCUGAACAGGGUGGGAGUCACUGCCACCGGCCACAGGAAGCGUAUCCUCAAACUAGUCGAGCACAUUCAGCUGAUCUGUCAACAGCCCUCGCUAGAUCGCUGCAAUUCAGACUCUGCUAUUCAUGAGGUGACCCCUGUCAAAGCGCAGCCUCAUUCUCCUUCAAGACAUUCUGGCAUCUCCUUAGAAGCCUUACGUAACAGGUCAGCCCCGAAUCUUUGUGCACAAGUGAAGCGCUCGUUCUCAGACCGUAGCACCAGUGUUGUAAAGCCGGUACCAAAACCAAGAACUGUCUUUCACAGACUGAGAGCAGAGAAAAUUUCUUUACCAACGCAACAUGAAGCGCAACCUCGCCAAAAGUCAUCUCAGGACUCACUUUUAAAAGUUGCACAAGGUUCAUCCUCCAGUACAGACACUGUCGAAUCAUCUACUGAAUCAAAAAAGGGCCAUUGUGAACCAGGUUUGAGUAAAAGUGAUCCGUUACCCCCAGUGCCCCCUAGGUUAAAUCGAGGAACUCCCCCAUCCACAUUCAGGAGAAUGUCGGAGCAGGAGCGUCUGAGCACCCCACCCCUCUGCACCCCUCCUGACUCCCCCUCCAGUUAUCAGUGCUCUCCCUUCACUAACACACCCGGUUCACCUCCAAGUCCACCCUGCUCAGGGCUAGAGAUGGUCUCUAAUGAAAUCUACUGUGGCACUUUACCAGGCACUCCAUUUUGGAGUCGCUCUGUACCCGUUCCCCCUCCACGCCAGGAGGGCAGCCCAUCCACUGAAAAUCAUAGCACUUUAGAAAAGUCCAACUCAACUGAAACACCUAAAAGAAAGUCUGUACCUGCUGAGGAAGAAGAUGAAACGAUCAACCCGUACUGUGAAACUGUUUUCCACAGCAGGCGACAAUAUCAACAUUCAGAGGUUGAGAGGACCAAAUGUGAGGAAAAGACUACAAAUAAUGAAGAUAAACAAAGAGAACAUGGGCAGCACAAUCACUCUUCGCUCAAGCGUCUUGAUUCUCCAGGUUACUGCACUGUGGGUGAACCGUCCCCGGCCCGUCACUCAUUCUCCCUCCCUCACAACUUUGUCUCCAAUGAAACGGAUGAGGACAUCAUCUCUCCCUACGCCAGCUUCACCUCGCUGUCCGAGCGGGUGGCACCCAUCCUCAGCGGCUGGCUGGACAAGCUCUCUCCUCAAGGAAACUAUGUGUUCCAGAAGCGAUAUGUGAAGUUUGAUGGGAAGAACUUGAUGUACUAUGGUAGUGAAAAGGAUGCUUAUCCCAAAGGUGUGAUUCCCUUAGCUGCCAUACAAAUGGCCCGCGUAGCCAAAGACAAUAAAUUUGAGGUUGUCACAAGUCACAGGACAUUUGUCUUCAGAGCUGAUAAUGAUGUUCAGAGGAGCACAUGGUGCGGCACGUUGCAGGAGCGGGUCAAAGAACAGCUGGUUUUCGGCCGCUUACGUUUUGGCCCUGGCAGUCACUGCCAAAAGAACGGCUUCCUGGAGCUCAAAGGAACCAAGUCAAAGAUCUACACAGCCAUUAUAAUGGAGCAGAUCUGGUUGUACAAGAAUGAGCAGUGCUUUAAAAAUGGAAUUGGAAUUACUGUAAUUGAGGCCAGAGGAGCUACAAUUCGUGAUGGGAAGGGCAAGAGCUUUGAUCUCAUUACACCUUAUAAAACCUUCAGCUUUACGGCAGAGUCGGAGCGAGAGAAGAGGGACUGGAUAGAGGCCCUGCAGGAGUCUAUAGCGGAAACACUGUCUGAUUAUGAGGUGGCAGAGAAGAUCUGGUCCAACAGGUCCAACAAGAUCUGCGCAGACUGCAAAGCCAUCAAUCCAGACUGGGCAUCCAUCAAUCUCUGUGUGGUCAUCUGCAAGAACUGUGCAGGCCAGCAUCGAGGUCUCGGCACAAUGGUGUCGAAAGUGCAGAGUCUGAAACUAGACACCAGCGUGUGGAGCAAUGAGAUCGUCCAGCUCUUCAUAAUGCUUGGCAAUGAUAGAGCCAAUGAAUUUUGGGCGGCCAGACUUCCUGUGACUGAGGAGCUGGACUGUGACGCCUCCCCAGAGCAGCGGAAAGAGUUUAUCACCCACAAAUACAGAGAAGGCAGAUAUCGGCACCCUCAACCCAGUUUUAGCACUCAAGAGGACCUUCUUAAGGCGCUGUGCACCGCUGUGACUGAGCAGAACCUGCUAAAAACGGUCACUCAGAUUUUUGCGGAGGCCGAGGCCGUGCGACUAGCUGACGCUGAUGGAAGCGAUAAGCGCGUGUCCCCGCAUUACUCAUACACACAGUCAGCAGAUUCCUGUGUCUAUGAUGAGAUCAUGCAGUCCAUCCUGUACUCCGGCUACAUCUACAAGUCAAGCUCCUUGAACAAAGGGACAUUAUCUCGCAGAACCAGAGACGCAGAUUUCCAAAAGUACUGGUGUUCGGUGGAGAAGUCUAUUCUCUUCUAUGAGUCUGACAGAUGUCAUGAGCCCAGUAUGAAGAUCGAUGUGAAAGACAUCAUCUGUUUAGGGGUUAGCCGGCCAGACUCCAGCAACAGCAGCGGCUUUAUUGACAAAUUUCGAUACACAUUUGAACUUUACCUAACAUCUGAUAAACUGAUCCAGUUUGGCUUUGAGACUCCAGAUGCGUUACACAGUUGGGCGAGAGCGAUAGGGAAGGCCACCACACCUCUCAGCUGUCACUGCCUGCUGGCGCGAGAGUUCGAGCGAGUGGGCGUCCUGCGCUACAAGGCCAUGCUAGACCCACAGCAGUGGAAAGAAGGCUUCUUUGUUCUGCAGAAGUCCAACCUGUUCAUAUGCCCUGGAAAUGAUGGAGCCGCAGAGGAUAUUAUAAACCUGAAACGCCUACAGGAGCUCAGCAUUGCAUCGGAAACAGAGAACCAUGAGAAGAAGGACAUCCUGGUUCUUGUUGAGAAAGGAAGGACUCUGCAUCUGCAGGGCACGGGCAGGACUGACUUCUCCCUGUGGUACGCAGACAUUCAGAAGGCAGCAGGAGGGAAAGGGAACACCCUGAAAGACCAGCAGCUCAGCAGAAAUGACAUCCCCAUCAUCGUUGACAGCUGCAUUGCCUUUAUAACUCAGUAUGGUCUAGGCCAUGAGGGGAUAUACAGGAAAAAUGGUGCGAAGUCCAGAAUCAAGCUUUUGAUGGAGGAGUUUCGUAAGGACGCCCGCAAUGUGAAACUCCGCAUUGGAGAUAACUUCAUAGAGGACGUGACGGAUGUACUGAAAAGGUUCUUUCGGGAGAUUGAUGAUCCUAUAUUCAUGGCUGAUCUCCACCCCUUCUGGAGGGAAGCUGCCAAGAUACCUCAAAAGCCACAGCGUUUGGACCGAUACAAAGAGCUGAUUCGAGGGUUACCUCGGGUCAACAGAACGACUUUAGCAGCUCUCAUCAGUCAUCUCUACAGGGUGCAGAAGUGUGCUGAUCUCAAUCAGAUGUGCACUAAGAACCUGUCCCUGCUGUUCGCUCCCAGCCUGUUUCAGACUGAUGGGAAAGGGGAACAUGAGGUCAAAAUCAUAGAAGACCUCAUCGAUAACUACCUGUACAUAUUUGAUGUAAGUGAAUAA